Molecule: unclassified non-coding RNA, 262 nt
Filed under: Hevea brasiliensis (rubber tree)
Lineage: Eukaryota; Viridiplantae; Streptophyta; Magnoliopsida; Malpighiales; Euphorbiaceae
Source: RNAcentral
GUUUUUUAAUGGGGUUCCUGGAAUUGGUGUGAGUAGGAGUAAUGGUGGUGAUUAUUUCAUUGGUCCUGGACUUGAAGAAUUGUUCGAACAGCUUUCAGCAAAUGAUCGGCGAGGGCCGCCUCCUGCAUCUAGAUCUUCGAUUGAUGCCAUGCCUGUUGUUAAAAUCACACAAAGACACAUCCGUUCGAAUUCACACUGUCCUGUUUGCCAAGAUAAAUUUGAAUUAGGAUCUGAAGCAAGGCAAAUGCCAUGUGACCAUAUG